GGGAAUUUUCCGCAAUGGGCGAAAGCCUGACGGAGCAAUACCGCGUGAGGGAGGAAGGCUCUUGGGUUGUAAACCUCUUUUCUCAGGGAAGAAAAAAAUGACGGUACCUGAGGAAUAAGCAUCGGCUAACUCCGUGCCAGCAGCCGCGGUAAUACGGAGGAUGCAAGCGUUAUCCGGAAUGAUUGGGCGUAAAGGGUCCGCAGGUGGCAUUGUAAGUCUGCUGUUAAAGAGUCACGCUCAACGUGAUAAAGGCGGUGGAAACUACAAAGCUAGAGUGUGGUCGGGGCAGAAGGAAUUCCUGGUGUAGCGGUGAAAUGCGUAGAUAUCAGGAAGAACACCGGUGGCGAAGGCGUUCUGCUAGGCCAAAACUGACACUGAGGGACGAAAGCUAGGGGAGCGAAUGGGAUUAGAUACCCCAGUAGUC
Molecule: ribosomal RNA, 424 nt
Filed under: uncultured cyanobacterium
Lineage: Bacteria; Bacillati; Cyanobacteriota
Description: bacterial SSU rRNA
Rfam family: Bacterial small subunit ribosomal RNA
Source: RNAcentral